Pomacea canaliculata is the source of this 421-nucleotide long non-coding RNA. RefSeq lists it as uncharacterized. Lineage: Eukaryota; Metazoa; Mollusca; Gastropoda; Architaenioglossa; Ampullariidae. The transcript is spliced from 3 exons. The record is from RefSeq and is a predicted model, not a curated record.
CGGUAACAGCGAUCACGUGACAUGACGUGUGUAUCUUCAAGAAAUCAUCGGUUUAGUCAGUUGCCGCUCACCUCAAAGGAAACUGCGCUCUACCUCUCAGACAUUACCACCUGGAAAGAUGAGGCUGUUGCUGGUGAUGCUGCUGCUUGUUGACUCUGUAGUCGCUGUACACGCUGCACACGCUCAUGCCAUAAAACUCACGUCAACUGCUUGCAAAAAAGUUGACGAGCAAUGCUACGAAACUUCUUCUUGCUGCCAAGGUUUGUGGUGUGGUAUGCUACCAAUUAGGGGGGCGUUGUCCCGUCAGUGUAUGAGAAUGAAACUAUCUGCUUGAGCAAGCGGUGAUGCACUUUAACCUCUUGUGGAGAAAUGUUAUGUGAAAAGACGAACACCAUUAAAGUAAGGAGAUUGGCAAUUGAAA